GAAACGCAACGGCUAGCGCUUUGGACUUCUAAUCCAAAGGUAGUGGGUUCGAAUCCCGCCUGAAAUG
Non-coding RNA from Trichonephila clavata, 67 nucleotides. Lineage: Eukaryota; Metazoa; Arthropoda; Arachnida; Araneae; Nephilidae. The record is from the annotation of a GenBank genome assembly.